Molecule: long non-coding RNA, 5780 nt
Filed under: Triticum aestivum (bread wheat)
Lineage: Eukaryota; Viridiplantae; Streptophyta; Magnoliopsida; Poales; Poaceae
Description: long non-coding RNA (TAES_LNC011288)
Source: RNAcentral
GAACACACAUCGGGCGAUCCCUACCAAUCAGGUGCCCCCUUCCAAGGCUUAUGAUGCAUGUCCUAUUUGCAAGGCUACUAGUCAUGCUCCUGCUAGUUGUCCGCAAGCUUUCUGUGAGAGAUGCAAUAAAUUGGGUCAUCUAGCCUCGGUUUGCGUUACAUUCCUGCCCUGGGAGUGCAUCGCUCCCCUGUGUGCCUUCCAGGCCAAAGGGCAGGGAUUCCUUUACAUUCCUGAUUCUUGCACUGCUAAACAACUCAAGGAGAGAUCUACUAGCGUCGUGAUUACUGUCAUAGAGGGGACUGCUAGUGUUAAGGAACUUGAGGAAGCGUUUUCUGACUACAUAGGGACCAAAUGGCACUGCACUGCCCGUAUCAUUGGCCCUGACACCUAUGUGAUGAGAUUUCCUAAUCAACGGGAUGUGAAUAAAGCAUGUUAUAACGAUAGGAUGAUCCUUAGAUCCUGUGGUGUAGUAGUUAAGAUCGUUCCUUGGUCGGCCAACAUUGGGGCUAAAGGGACUAUGGAGAUGGCAUGGGUGAAAGUUGCUAAUAUCCCUCUGGAAAGAAGAAAUGAGAGAAAUCUUGCUUAUGUUUCUUCCCUGGUGGGCGUCCCGCUCGAGAUCGACAUGGCCACCCUACACAAACCUGAAUUUGUCAGGGUUCGGCUGGGAUGUCGCAAUGUGGACGAGCUCCCUGGGGUUGCUGAGGCAGUGUUGGGCACACACUUCUUUGAUUUCUUCUAUGAAAUCGAGAAGGUGUUGGUUCGUGACCCUGAAAGAGAAAAAAGGGAUGUGCAGACAGAGGCAGAUGUUAACAAAUCCCCUUUUGUGAGAACUUCCACAUGGGGCAAGCAUGAUCCUAAGUCUGCACACAAAGGGAAUGAUGCUGGAUGCAGUAAGAAUGGUGAUGAUGGGGUUGGUGAUCCUGUCGAGGAAAAGGAGGAAGAAAGUGCGGAGUCUGAGGAGUCAGAAGAUAACACAUUGCUUAUUGAAACCAUGGCUGUGGAGGCUUACAACAAAGAAAAUGCGCGGGCCUCUCAGGCAAUGCUAGAUGUUGUUGACACCCAGCAUAAUGCUGAUGAGAUUCAGGUAGAAACAAUGCUGGCACAUGUUCACCUGUUGCUGUUAUGUCUCAUGAUGAUAUAGCUCAUUUGGAUGUGGCUAUGGACUAUAAGCAGGUGGUGGAAAUGGAAGGAGAGGACCUUUCCAAGCUGGAGAAGUCAGAAUACCUGGUACAAUACCCUGCCUCCCCCUCUGAGGAUUUGGGAGAGGUGAUUCCUACCCCUCCCCUUUUAUCUGAAGAGGUUCAGAGGUUUAGCUUGAGGAACUUGCAGAAUAUGGAAGGAAGAAUGCAAGAGAGAGCUAUUGCCAUUUCCAAGAAGAGAAAUCUGGAAGGUAAUUCAGCUAAUCAUAACUCCUUUGAUGCACUAUCUAAUCCUGAACUUAUGAUUCGUGCUGUGAAAACGGGGGUAGCUUUCCCUGACAAUAACUUGAAGUAGUCAGGGGGGAAAUGUUCAAAUCAGAGAGGGAACAAAAUGUAAGAGUAGAGGAAGAAAUGAUGUAUAUUACUAAUGGUAAGGGAGAUCAAACCCCUGUUACUACUGAUUGGGGGGAUGGGGAUGAGGACAUGGAAGAGCAAUUUACCUUGGUGCGGUCUAGGAAAAGGAAAAGCCCUAAAGUGAAAGUUGCUAUUUCCAGACCCAUCACUAGGAGUCAGAAGAGUCAUGUAGAAAAAACGCAAGCUGGCAGCCCUGUCCAUAAUACCAGGGCCACCAGAGGGGGGAGAAAAGGGAAAAGACAUAAAUGAUAGGUCUAUUUUGGAAUUGUAGGGGGGCAGGGAAAAAAGGGAUGAAAACCUGUCUUUCCCAUAUGAUUAAGGACCAUUCCCUUGACUUUAUGUGUCUGCAAGAAACGCUUAAGAAGAAUUUUUUGGAUAGUUAUUUUAGGAAGCUCGAUCCAUACAACUUGUUUGAGUGGGAAUGGAUCCCCUCAAUUGGCAAGGCUGGGGGCAUUCUGUGUGGGGUUCGGAAGGAGAAGUUUGAGGUAGUUGCUUGGAGAAAAGGCAGGUUCAUUCUCCAGGUAUCUCUCUAUGAUAUUAAUAUGAAGAAGAUUUGGACUCUUUGCAGUGUUUAUGGAGCAGCCCAUGAGGGGGAUAAAAAUGAUUUCCUUAGUGAAUUGGCUGAUUUCUGCUGCCAUAUUCAAACACCUUUGUUGAUUGGGGGAGAUUUCAAUAUCCUCAGACACGAUGGAGAGAAGAAUAAAAGAUGGCGUCGAACAGCACAUUCUGACCUGUUCAAUUCGAUCAUCAACACUAUGUGUUUGAGUGAGACUUAUAUGAGUGGGGGGACUUACACUUGGUCUAAUAACCAAGCUCAUCCUACCCUGGAGAAAUUGGAUCGUGUUCUUAUGAGUAAUGAAUGGGAGGAGAUGUUUCCUAUGGUUAAUAUGAAGAAACUCGUUCGGGAGGUGUCUGAUCACAAUGCACUCUUAUUGUACUCUGAUAAUCAUGUUAUCAGAGCCCCACAAAAAAGAGAGUUCCGAUUCGAAAUGAGCUGGCUAAAAUCUGAGGACUUUAUUCCUCUAGUUAGCAAGAUCUGGAAUCAGAAUGUGAAUGCUACCGACCCUGUUGAUAUUCUAAAUAUCAAAUUAAAAAGAUUUAAGAAGUUUUUCAAAGGCUGGGGGUCGAGCAACUUUGGUCAUGAAAAGAAAAGGAAGCAAGAGAUUAGAGAAGAACUUGCUCUCAUUGAAAAAGCAGAAGAGGAAGGGACUAUAGAUGAUGAGAUGUUUUGUAGGAAGACUGAUCUCCUUGUGGAGAUGAAUGAAAUCCUUGUCAAUGAGGAGCUUUUUCUGCUGCAGCAAUCGAAUGAGAGAUGGCUGCUUGGGGGGAUCGUAACACCGCUUACUACCAAAAAAUUGCUAACUGUAAUAAGCGGAAAAACACGAUACAUUCUCUUCAUGUGGGGGAUGCAGUGAUUGAGGGGACUGAAAACCUGCUGGAGCAUGCCACUGAUUUCUACAAAAAUCUUUUUGGACCGGCCCAGGGAAACAUGUUCCAUCUUGACCCUGGGAUUUGGGGGGUAGAGGAAAAGCUCGAUGAGCUGGACAAUGAGAUUCUUAAUAGACCUUUCACAGAGGAAGAAGUGAAGAGAGCCUUAUUUUCCAUGAAAAGCAACAGGCCCCUGGCCCGGACAAUAUCCCCGCUGAAUUUUACCAGCAGUGCUGGGAGAUAGUGAAGGAGGAUAUCAUGAGAUUGUUUGCUGCUUUCCACGCAGGAGAGCUGGACGUUUGUAGACUGAAUUAUGGCAUUAUUACUUUGUUGCCUAAAAUCAAUGGGGCCAAUAAGAUCCAGCAGUUUAGGCCGAUUUGCUUGCUGAGAUGUCCCUACAAGUUAAUAACUAAUGUGCUUGAUAACAGGGUGGCCCCUUUUGCUGAUAAAUUGUUUAGUAAGCAUCAAAAUUCCUUUAUCAAGCAUAGAAACAUCAUGGAUGGGGUAUUGUCGUUGCACAAAAUUCUGCAUCAUACUUACAACAAGAAGAAGGUGGGUAUUGUCAUCAAGCUUGAUUUCGAGAAAGCUUAUGACAAAGUGAACUGGGAAUUUCUUUUGGAAUGUCUUGAGAUGAGAGGGUCUGGUCCCACAUGGUGUGGGUGGAUUAAAAGUGUCCUGGUUGAUGGCACAGUCAGUGUGAAGCUGAACAAUGUGAUGGGGCCAUAUUUCAAGAGCUUUAAAGGGGUUAGACAGGGGGAUCCUGUGUCGCCCUUCCUUUUUAACAUUGCUGCUGAAUGCUUGUGUAAAAUGGUGCUGCAGGCGCAGAGAAAUAAUCUAGUUGUGGGACUUGCUCCGGAUCUUGUUGAAAAUGGAGUGGCAAUACUGUAAUAUGCAGAUGAUACAGUCCUAUGCAUAGACCAUGAUUUGGAUAAAGCUGUGAAUAUGAAGUUGCUGUUAUACAUAUUUGAGCUCAUGUCUGGGCUUAAAAUCAAUUUCCAGAAAAUUGAGAUCCUGUGUGUAGGGGGGGAUGAUGAGACUCUUAAAGCAUAUGCUGAUAUUUUUGGUUGUCAAAUAGGGCACUUCCCCAUGAAGUAUCUUGGGGUGCCAGUGACCUUUUCUUCUCUGUGAGUAGCUGACUGGGACUUUUUAGAGGCCAGAUUCAUUAAAAGAUGUGACUCUGGCUUGGGGGGCAAUGCCUCGUCUGGGGGACGUUUAACACUGCUUAAUGCUAAUAUUUCUAGCAUUGCCUUUUAUUAUAUGUCCAUGUACCUUUUAUCCAAAACUAUACUUGCCAGGAUUGACAAGUGUAGGAGGAGAUUCUUCUGGCAUGUGACCCAAAAUAAAAAACGAUAUUACCCGGUUAAGUGGACUAGAAUUUGUAGAUCCAAGAGUAAAGGGGGGCUGGGUGUGAAAGAUCUUCAUAAGCAGAAUCUUAGCCUGCUUACUAAAUGGUGGUGGAAGUUAGAAACUAAAUCUGGACUUUGGCAGGAUAUUGUGAAAGCUAAGUACUUCAGUAGGGCUACCGUGGCUGAUAUUAAAAUGAAGUGCAAUGACUCACCAUGCUGGAAAGCCAUUAUGAAGGUGAAAUAUCUUUAUAUGGCAGGGAGGAGAGUAAUUGUGCAAUCUGGAAACAUUGCCAGACUGUGGGUUGAUCCCAUUGGGGACAAUAUACUUAUGGCUGAGCAGUUUCCUCGUCUUUUCUCUAUUUGCAAUUAUCCUGAGUGCACUAUUGAUAAAUGCUUAAAUGUUGAUCCCUCCUCAUUCUUUAGGAGAAGGUUGAAUAGUGAGCUUAAUGACCAGUGGGUUUUUGUGAGUAAAUUGGCUAGAGAAGCAUGUGUUUCAGACGCUGCUGAUGUGAUCAAAUGGGGCUUGGGUGGGAAAACCUCUUUUACCACCAAAUCUGUUUAUUCGUUCCUGGAAAAGAAUGUUGCUGGAUGUGAUUAUAUAUGGAUCUGGAGUGCCAGAAUCCCUCUCAAAAUUCAAAUAUUGUUGUGGCAACUUUUUCAGGAUGCUGUCCUGACUAGGGAUGUGAUGAAACACCGAGGGUGGAAAGGGAACCCAAAGUGUUCUUUUUGCGGAGGGAGAGAAACCGCACAACACCUGUUCUUUGCUUGCCCUGUUGCCAGGGUAAUCUGGAGGACAGUGGCAUGUAUGUUUGGCACUGCUUUGUGCCCUGAUAAUAUUUGGCAACCUUAUUCAUGGUGUUAUACGUUCUUCCCUGGAGGGGAAAAGUUUUAUACGGCAGGGAUUGCUGCUAUGUGCUGGGCGAUCUGGUCGUGUCGUAACAGGGUUACUUUUGAGUUCAAACCGCUUACAAACCCAUUUGAAUGUAUAUUCUCUGCCUGUGCUUUAAUUUGCUACUGGGCAGGAAUGAUGAAGCAAGAGGAUGCAGUUGCCAUGAGGGACGGGGCGAAGAUGCUGAAGGAGAAUGCGUCGAUGAUGAUGAGGAUCUGUGCUGCAAACCACGAAGAGGCAUCCCGUUGAUCCUGCUGGAGAUGUUCCCUUGUGGUCUAGCUUGAUGUUUGAGUUGCUCUCCCCUGCGUGGGCUUGAACUUAUGCUGCUCGACUGUUGUGAGCCUGGGUGCUGUGACUUUUGGGGGCUGUUGGCCCUGGUUCCUAGCUUUAGAUGUAUGGUGUCGUCGGGUUUUCGCCUCACAGCGAGUAAUCUCGAUGGCGAGUGCUUGCAGUGGGUUUCCCGACGAUGCGUUGAACUCGCUUCCCCUUUUCUCCUUUCUUGGACUGUUGUAUUUCCGUUAUGUUGCAGUAAUAGAAAGGGGUAAUGCCCGGUUCAAAAAAAAA